CAGAAUGUAGUUUAUUUAGAAUUAUAGUUUUGGAGACUAUGGGUAGGUUAAUCUUUAUUCUGA
Molecule: transfer RNA, 63 nt
Filed under: Antilochus coquebertii
Lineage: Eukaryota; Metazoa; Arthropoda; Insecta; Hemiptera; Pyrrhocoridae
Description: tRNA-Pro
Source: RNAcentral